ACAGCUUGACACUCAUGACAUUGGACAACAUUCAAGACUUCACUUUUCGUACAUACAUAUAGACGGUAGAAGACAAGACAAGACAAGACUCCACAUUCAUUACAAGCACAGUAAAACCUUUUAACUUUUCUUACAUCUAUAGGCAGAAGGCAUAAGCCAUUAACCAUAUCAGUUAUCAAUCAUCGUUGCUAUCUCGUGAUGACCAUGAUUCAAGCAAUGAAAGAGCAACUAGAGGUCCAAGGAAAGGAGGGACCGGAGGUGGCCUGCUAAAAGCGACGAGGGGUUCAAUCU
This 291-nucleotide long non-coding RNA is filed under the name Solanum lycopersicum (tomato). RNAcentral's name for it is "long non-coding RNA (SLYC_LNC000592)". The record is from RNAcentral. Lineage: Eukaryota; Viridiplantae; Streptophyta; Magnoliopsida; Solanales; Solanaceae.